GACAACGUUCCACUUAAACGAGGUUGUCUUCUUCCCAAGUCCCAGACCUACUUCUCUGAUCUUCUAUGCAACUCUCUCUCUCUUUCAAAACAAUCUCGCAUUUACAUGAAUCGAACACCGACAGAGAGCCGGCAAAGAAUCGCCAUAGUCGAGAUAAACGAUUUUCCUCCUCUCCAAUGGAUGGAUUCGAUCGGUUGCCCCUCCAUUCUUUUAUACGUUGGUCGACAUAAGUUUUGCCCAAAAACCGCAUUGAUUGUGUCGGUUUUCACCCCUUUUGAUGGUCUCUCUCUCUGCGAGAGCCUCUUAGAACCUCUCUCCCUCUCAUAGUCAUUGUGGUGGCGCGGCCCACAUCCUUGUCUCCUCCUCCUCCUCAACUCCUUCUGGUUGUCAUCGUCGUCGGUAGAUGAGUGGGCGGUGGACAGGAGGUGGACGAACUAAUGGUCUGCUCCCGCACUCUGGCAAACGGACAAGGGACCCUGCCCUUGGAUGCAGUGGGCAAAAACCCUCCUCUGCCCAUGCGUAGGGGGGUGUUUGCGGAUAGCACCCCUGGUAUUGACAAUACUGCUAAGUAAACGUUUACCAUAUUUCAUUGAUUGAUUGUAUACAUAGAGCUGUCUCUGUCAAAAGAAAAACUGAAUAAAUACAUUAAUUAAAACAAAACAAAACAAAACAAAACCUUGGAAGCAUUGUUUUAUCGACCAAAUUAGUUGAACUUAAUUUUGAAAAGACAGGCAAGCUUGUAGACGCAUGUUAUUAAUCAUAUCAGGAAUUCGGAACUUCAUUUCA
Molecule: long non-coding RNA, 786 nt
Organism: Carya illinoinensis
Lineage: Eukaryota; Viridiplantae; Streptophyta; Magnoliopsida; Fagales; Juglandaceae
Exons: 2
Source: RefSeq, a predicted model, not a curated record